AUUGAACGCUGGCGGCAUGCCUUACACAUGCAAGUCGAACGGCAGCACGGGAGCAAUCCUGGUGGCGAGUGGCGAACGGGUGAGUAAAGUAUCGGAACGUGCCCAGUCGUGGGGGAUAACGUAGCGAAAGUUACGCUAAUACCGCAUACGAUCUAUGGAUGAAAGCGGGGGAUCGCAAGACCUCGCGCGAUUGGAGCGGCCGAUAUCAGAUUAGGUAGUUGGUGGGGUAAAGGCUCACCAAGCCGACGAUCUGUAGCUGGUCUGAGAGGACGAGCAGCCACACUGGGACGGAGACACGGCCCAGACUCCUACGGGAGGAAGCAGUGGGGAAUUUUGGACAAUGGGCGAAAGCCUGAUCCAGCCAUGCCGCGUGCAGGAUGAAGGCCUUCGGGUUGUAAACUGCUUUUGUACGGAACGAAAAGGUUUGGCCUAAUAAGCUGAGCUCAUGACGGUACCGUAAGAAUAAGCACCGGCUAACUACGUGCCAGCCGCCGUAAGAC
RNAcentral lists this ribosomal RNA (500 nucleotides) under uncultured bacterium. RNAcentral's name for it is "partial 16S ribosomal RNA". It matches the Rfam family "Bacterial small subunit ribosomal RNA", at positions 30 to 526 of the family's 1533-position model. The record is from RNAcentral.